GGGCGCUUAGCUCAGAGGGAGAGCGCCGCUCUGACGCAGCGGAGGUCGGAGGUUCAAGUCCUCCAGCGCCCACCA
This 75-nucleotide transfer RNA is filed under the name Bacillota bacterium. RNAcentral's name for it is "Firmicutes bacterium (sediment metagenome) tRNA-Val". It matches the Rfam family "tRNA". Rfam says of the family: Transfer RNA (tRNA) molecules are approximately 80 nucleotides in length. Their secondary structure includes four short double-helical elements and three loops (D, anti-codon, and T loops). Lineage: Bacteria; Bacillati; Bacillota. The record is from RNAcentral.